UAUAUACUCCCUCUGUCCCGAAUUACUUGUCGCAGAAAUGGACGUAUCGUCUAGAUACAUCCAUUUCUGCGACAAGUAAUUCGGGACGGAGGGAGUAAUAU
Triticum urartu is the source of this 101-nucleotide non-coding RNA. NCBI's taxonomy places the organism in Eukaryota, Viridiplantae, Streptophyta, Magnoliopsida, Poales, Poaceae. The record is from Rfam.